GGGCCCGCACAAGCGGUGGAGUAUGUGGUUUAAUUCGAUGCAACGCGAAGAACCUUACCAGGGUUUGACAUCCUGCGAAUCUCUUGGAAACGAGAGAGUGCCUUCGGGAACGCAGUGACAGGUGCUGCAUGGUUGUCGUCAGCUCGUGCCGUGAGGUGUCAGGUUAAGUCCUAUAACGAGCGCAACCCCUGCCGUUAGUUGCCAGCAUGUAAUGAUGGGAACUCUAACGGGACUGCCGGUGCAAACCGCGAGGAAGGUGGGGAUGACGUCAAAUCAUCACGGCCCUUACGUCCUGGGCUACACACGUACUACAAUGCUACGGACAAAGGGCUGCAAGUUCGCGAGGACAAGCAAAUCCCAUAAACCGUGGCUCAGUUCAGAUCGUAGGCUGCAACUCGCCUACGUGAAGGAGGAAUCGCUAG
RNAcentral lists this ribosomal RNA (422 nucleotides) under uncultured bacterium. RNAcentral describes it as "bacterial SSU rRNA". It matches the Rfam family "Bacterial small subunit ribosomal RNA", at positions 917 to 1338 of the family's 1533-position model. The record is from RNAcentral.